GGAGAGGUGGCAGAGCGGUUGAAUGCACUGGUCUUGAAAACCAGCAAGGGUUAAUAGCCCUUCGUGGGUUCAAAUCCCACCCUCUCCGCCA
This 91-nucleotide transfer RNA is filed under the name Woeseia oceani. Its description in RNAcentral is "tRNA-Ser". It matches the Rfam family "tRNA". From Rfam's summary of the family: Transfer RNA (tRNA) molecules are approximately 80 nucleotides in length. RNAcentral also lists the same sequence under 7 other names. Lineage: Bacteria; Pseudomonadati; Pseudomonadota; Gammaproteobacteria; Woeseiales; Woeseiaceae. The record is from RNAcentral.